UCUCUAUGCUCGAUAAAUAUAUGGCUCUGUUGGAAUCAAAAGUCCAAUCUGAUUACCAAACCAAAAGUCCUUCGUCCUAAAUAUGGGUUUUAAACAAAGGUCCGCGUCUGUGAUAUGGGGUGCGACCAAAAGGAUUUUGAUUUAGCUGAAACUGCAACAUGAUCACAAUUGACUGGGUUUCUUUGCAAUAUCAAGAGACGUGAUGCGACUGCAACCAAUUAUGAAGCGCUUUCCUCUCUGCAACUGUUCAGACCUUACUUGACAAACUUGCUUCCAAAGAGUUUCUUAAUUACAUCACAAACACCAAGCUCGAUGUCUCACUCUUGAAACAGUUAAGAGCAACACUACACACUCUUCAACCUGUGCUAGACACUGCAGAGGAGAAGCAAAUCAAAACUCCUUCUAUCAAAGAAUGACUUGAUGACUUGAAAGAUGAUGUCUACGAUGCUGAAGAUUUACUCAACCAAAUUAGAUAUGAUUCCCUUCGAUGCAAAAUGGAGAACAAACUACCAGCAAUAAAACAACAUCAAAUUGUGAGAUGUGACAAUAUUUUUGAGAAAAAUAUACACAGUGGAACUGCUGAUUCUUUUCGUUCUGAAGUGGUGGAAACUGAGACCAACAACGCAAAGUUGGAACUACAAAAUUCUGUUGAUUCAGGUGCACAGAUGGAUGACAUGGAAAAACCAUUUAUAACCCCUUGUAAAGCAUUAACAGUAGAAAAAAAACGCCAUCGCCACCUUCAACCCGCAGCCCCAAGCGAAGACAUACUUUCCAUUCUUUUGCUCGCAUUUCACUGCAGUAAAAAUCAUAAUAACUUGGUAAGGCAGUAAAAAUUCACAAACAACAAAAAAGGAACGAGACGUUUUCACAAGAAAAAGUACAAGGUACAUGUUACCUUUUUCAAAAUAAGCAUCAAAAUGGGGUAGACAACAGAGCAGCGCAAGGGAGCGUCCUCCCAGGCCGAUAUCUUUUGAUCUCAGUGGCCAAUUCCAAACCCUAGCAGGAUGAAUAUAAAAGGGAGAAAUUUCUCCUCAUUGAGCGGCGACUACUGUUCAAAAAGGAAGAGGACGAACCCCUAAGAACACCACAACCAAAUCAAUCAGAGCUAUUCUUGAGAACCCAAACAAAUCUAUAAAAGCGUUGAGUCCAAAGGAAAAAGAAGAGAAGUGGUCACGCACCUGUUCAUUUGCUCCAAAGUACCCCGAUCCGGUAAAUUUAUUGCCCCUUUUUGCGUUUCAUUCCCAGAUUCACGAAUGUGUGCAUAGUUUAUCUCUUCCAUGCUUUGUUUUUAUUUCUCUGCAAAAUGAUUGUCCCCUUUUUGUCGUUUGAUGUUGGAGGUUGACGUCGUUGAUUAGGGUUCAGGAUUUGGUAGAUGUCAAUUGCAUUUGUUCUUUUUUCUUAAUGCUGAAGUUUGGUUCGUGUAAGGAGAAAUAGACUGAUUUAUUUCUGUAAGUGUUUCAAGCUGAGAAGAGAAAGGUUUGAGGCGGAUCAGAAUACUUCACGUUUCAGUUUCAUUUUUGUGUUAAAAUGAGUUUUAAGGCCAAAGAUGAACGGUACCUUUCCCACUGCCCGAGAUUAAUAUUGUUUUGUUUCUCCCUAGGCUUUAAUGGCCUUCUUUCUCGGUCACGACGUGUGGCCAUUGGGGUGGGAGAAUCUUGUCUCCACACGUGCCUUCCUAUGGAAGAGGGAGAGGCUUACUGGAUCUGACCCAUGGUUUCGGAUAACCCGGAUAGAUCCCGCCCCAUUUGGGCCUCCUAGGUUAACGACCCACCUCCGUUCCGUCUAGUUUGUUGCACCCUGAUGGGCCUUAGGAGCAUUCAGGGCCCACCUUUUUUCUGUUUGUGUUGGCAUUUGUUUUGUUUUUAUUUUUUCUCUUUUCCUUUUCUUUUAAGAAAUAAUUCUAUUUAAUUUAAAUGAAUUUUUGUUUAUCAAAUUAGAUUUUUUUAUCAAUACCUAAGUUUUAGUCAUAUAUUUUAUUAUUAUUAUUAUUAUUUUUAUUAUCAUCAUCAAUUAUUUAAUAUGACUUAGGUGGUGAUUCUUUCUUUUUUCGAGAUUUAUGUGAAUUAUCAUAUUUAUGCUUGUUUAUUCGUUUGUACAAAUUAUUGAUUUUGUGCGCGUGGUAUGUUAUAAUCAUGAUAGAACAUUUCAAUUUCAUUGAUCAAAACACAAUUCAAACCAAAAAAUAAAUCACCUAAUUCUCGAUUCAAUGUCGGGUCCCCAUUUCCAUACCUUUGUAAGUCGAUUGCUUGUAAGCAUCGCCAUCAACCUCACAUAGCUUACUCUUGGGCUUCCUUACAAUGAGACGGUUCUCUUGCACUUACGUUCAUGCAUUGCUAGUUGAUUAUUUUGUUCCAUUUUAAUUAUUCCAUUACUUUGAAUCCCCAUUUGACAAAAAUGUACCCUCGCUCCCAUGAUGUGUAAUGAUAUUCUACUGUUUUAUUUCUUUAUUUGCUUGACUGUUUAGUUAGCUACUAACACAAGAAUAAAAUCAACCAUUUCCAAAAUAUCAAAAAUAAGACUCGACCCAACGUCGAGUAUUUUUCCCAAUAAAUAAAUCCAUUCCAUUUCAUCCAAACCAUUUUAUUCAAAUCUUUCUCAAUCGUUCAUCAAAUGCUUGAUCCAAUGUCAAGCCAUUUUCAUAAUAAAAACUAAAAAAGACUUAAUUCAUAUUUAAGACCUUUUCAAUAAAUAUGGAAAUGGAACGUGGUGGAUACCACGCACUCCUGAGACUAGGGUUCGAGAUGGAUGUUUCGCCUAUCUUAGCUCUCGCCAUCAUCCAAAUCCAUCUAUUCUGUUUCUCCCAAACAUUCUUUCAAAUUUCUCUUAAACGUCCAUCAAUGCUUGAUCCAACGUCAAGUCAUUUUCAUAAUAAAACUCAAAAUACUUAAUUCCUAUUUAACACUUUGCAAAUAAAGAUGGAAAUGGAACAUGGUGGAUACCGUGCACUCUUGAGAUUAAGAUUCAAGGUGGAUGCCUCUCCUAUCUUAGCUUUCACCAUCAUUUAAAAUUGUCAAUGCGGUUUCUUCAAACCCUUUCCUAACCAAAUUCAAAAACACUUAAUUCUUAUUAAAUACUUUUGCAAAUAAGAUGGAAAUGGAAUGUGGUGGAUACCACGCUCUCCUGAGACUAGGAUUCGAGAUGGAUAUCUCGCCCAUCCAAGUUCUCGCCAUUACUCAAAAUACAUCAAACCAAUCAAUUUCUUUUCUCGCCGCCGUGCGAUUAAAUCUUAAACCCUUUCUCAAACGAAAGGUACUUUGUUUCAAAACAAUGCAAGGCAAUGUUUCUCCACCUGUUUUGGGUAGUCCAACAAUGUUUUUGUCGAUUUGACACAAAGUAGCUUUCGCUAAAAUCGACCAACAAACAAACAGAAAGGUACUUUGUUUCAAAACAAUGCAAGGCAAUGUUUCUCCACCUGUUUUGGGUAGUCCAACAAUGUUUUUGUCGAUUUGACACAAAGUAGCUUUCGCUAAAAUCGACCAACAAACAAACAUUUUCUACCCAGAACUACGUAAGCUUUGAGUUCUCUAUUGAGAUAUGUAGGAGCAGGAUUUGUAAAUCUUGUCAGGCCCACUAAUAAAAAACUUAGGUUUAGUCCUUUGUUGAAAAUCCAAAAACAUUCCUCUCUCUUCUAUUCUUUCUUUCCCACCUAAUAACUCAAAAGCCUAACAUUUCAAACUAACACUAACUCACACAACUAACCUAACGGUUCCCGUUGAGUACAACAGACGUGAGGGGUGUUAAUACCUUCCCCUUGCGUAAUCGACUCCCGAACCCUGAUUUGGUUGUGACGACCAUAAUCAUUGUCCUUCUUUCUUGGGUUUUAUCGAUAUUUCCCCUUUCCUUUUUAGUAAUAAAUAAAUUUCGGUGGCGACUCUGUUCAAUCCAUCAUUGCAAGCGUGCGGUUGCGCUUCGCUAGGUCGUAUUCCCAUUAUUUUUCGAGAUACAACAUAUGGCGACUCUGCUGGGGACAGUCGUUCCCUAAGUGAGUCAAGCCUAGUUAGAAUGUUUGUGUGCCUUUGUUUGUUUAAUUGUGUGGCUUUUCCUUUUCUUUAUUGCUUUUAUUAUCUUUAUUGUUAUAUUGAUAUAUCUGUUGUAUAUUGGUUCCAUUGUGAUGUUGGUAUUUGGAUGUUCUGAUUGCAAAACCAUGUGGGAAAGACUCUAUACCCGAGUCUAGAGUGAAAAAACAUAAGAUAGGACGAUGGUUGAGUAGUACAGACUCCCGAGGUGAAUACUUCGUAAGAGUCGGUACGAGAACCUCACUUAGAGUAGAUCCUUUUGUAAAUAUUGUCGCCCAAGGUGAAUACUUCGUAAGCUUCAAUGUUUCAAAGAGGUUCAUGACUCUAAGGACCUUUUAGAACAUUGAACCUUUGGCCAACUAGAAAUGAUGGUUGCAUAGUAUGGAUUCCCAAGGUGAAUAAUUCGUAAGAAUCGGUACGAGAACCUCGCUCAGAAUAGAUUCUUUAGAUGGAGUUGACGACCGGAAAGUAUUUUCCGUAAGCGUCAAACAUUCUUUUGAAUCCAUGACUCUGAGUACCCUGUCUAGAACCAAGUCGAUGGUUGCAUAGUAUGGACUCUCGAGGUGAAUACUUCGUAAGAGCCGGUACGAGAACCUCACCCAGAAUAGAUUCCCUUGAUGGAGUUGACGAUCGGGAAGUAUUUUCCGUAAGCGUCAAACAUUCUUGUGAAUCAAUGACUCUGGGGAUCCUUUGUAACAAAGCCCUAGAUCAUACCCGGUGAGAACCCCAUUUUGGAAAGCAAUCAGAUUUAUCCAUACCUCGGACCUUUGAACCUGUACCAAAAAACAUUGCACCCAUCCAUUUAUUGCAUACGCAUAAAAAGCAAAUCUCUUAGUUUGUUUCGCAUUAUUUCAGGAAUACAAGACUUGUUAGCAAAAUGAAUCCUGAGAGAAGAAGCACUUUUCAGUUCACGUACAAGAAUAUGGACCUCGCCAGCCUGCAAAAGUUGAGUGCCAAAGUAACACCAAUCAAACUCAAUAGCUUUGUGCAAGACUAUGGAAGAAUUCUGAACAUCCUAAAUGAGAAGAUGGACAUGAUGACCACAAUGACUAUUGCUCAGUUCUAUGAUCCACCUCUAUGUUGUUUCACGUUUUCUGACUUCUAAUUGGCUCUUACCUUAGAGGAGUUUGAGAGGAUCAUUGGCCAGAAUUUGAAGGAUCAUAAUCCGUUUCCGAAGUUUGAUGAAGGUAUUCCUCCCAAGAGGAUAGCUUUAGCUUUGGGUCUGAAAGUUUCCAAAGUCGUGGACAAUUGGGAUGUGAAGGGAGAUUUCAAUGGUUUUUCUAGGAAGUUCUUGGAAGAUCAAGCUAAGAAGAUGGAAAAAGAAGGGAAUUGGGAAGCUUUCUAUGUUGUGUUAGCCGUGUUGGUAUAUGGGAUGGUUCUCUUCCCAAAUAUUGACCAUUUCGUGGACCACCUGGCGGUGAGAAUCUUCCUCUCUGGUAACCCUGUACCGUUCCUCCUAGAAGACCUCCACUAUGCUCUCCACGAUCGUCAUGAGAAUAAGGGAGGAACCAUCUUAUGUUGUGCGCAGCAAUUGCAUGCUUGGUUUAGAUCUCAUAUGCCCGAAGAAGGCCCUUUUGUCUCAAAGGAACACAAGCCCUCCCAGAAGUUAGCUUCCCUCACCUCCAAUCAUGUUAAGUGGUAUAUCAGGGAUUGAGAAACUAAGGAUGUUAUUGUCAGCAUUGGAGAUUUCCUCAAUGUACCUUUGAUGGGAACCAAGGGUUGCAUCAACUAUAACCCCGUGUUAUCUUUGAGGCAACAUGGUUACCCUAUGAAUGGCCCUCCAAAAGCUGAAGCUUUAGAGCCUUUCAUCUUACACAGUGCUGAAGCAGAUCAUCCUAUGGUGAAAAAGAUCAAGAGGUCUCGGCAAGCCGUUAUAAAAAAGGGUAAGGAGUUGGGUAAGAGAAAUUGUAUCGCUCAAGAGCCUUAUACUUGUUAGGUUAGAGAGAGGGUUCAGAUGGUUAAACUCCCUUUUCCAUUUGAUCCUUUUAUCUAUCCGUUGGUUCCUGAGCCCGAACCCAUAUUACCUGAAGAUGUGGAGAAACUCAAUGCCCGUAUUAAGGAGCUGGAGUUGGAGAAUACCGACUUGAGGAUUAAGCUCGGCCGAGUCUCGGUAGAAAAUGGGAAUUUGAAAGAUGUCAACAAAAGAAGGACAAAGAGCUUGAAAUCUCCAACAAAAGAGCUAGGGAGUCUGAGGCAAGGAGAGAAAAGUUCGGACAAGCGCUCUAUAGCACUAAAUCUGUGUUCAAGUCAAAGGAGGAGGAGUUGGAUAAAGCUUUACUCCGGAUUCAAAAACUCAACAAGACUCUGGAAUUGACCUUUGAAAUGAAAAGGGAAGCACGACUGAUUUCUUAGACUCGUAAUCGUGAACUGGAGAAUACCAUUCAUAAAUACAAGGAUACUCUGGAACGCGAGAAGCUGGGGACUGAAGAGUCAGAAAGAGUUUGCACACGGCUGAAAUAUCAGUUGGAACAAGCCGAUGCUAGAAUCCAGGUACUUGAAGGUGGGGAUCAGGAUGCUGCCUAUAUGAUGUUGCUAGGUGAGUGCAGAGAACAAGCCGAUGCUAGAAUCCAGGUACUUGAAGGUGGGGAUCAGGAUGCUGCCUAUAUGAUGUUGCUAGGUGAGUGCAGAUAUUGGAGAAACCUCUAUAGGGACAUAGAGGUGACCAAGGCUGAAGCCUUGCACAUCAUUCAAGACCUCGAAGGGCUUUACACUUAGUGGAAGGGCAAAUUUCUGAGGCUGUCCAGAUUUGCGAAUUCCGUCAUGCGAGAGCUACCUGAGAAACUUCAAGAAGCUGAUUGGUGCAUGUGUCUAAAGAACACCCCACAUCAAGUCUUUAAUUUUAUUAAAUUUUGUAAGGCAAUGUUGGAAGGGCUGACUAUCGACCUUGCUACAGUUCGGAAAGCCCAUAAGCCAUAAGCACGUUGUUUGUAUUUGAACUUUGCUAUGAGUUAAUGAAAAAAUCGCUUUUGAGAUUCAUUUUUAUUGUGUUUUAUUUCCUUAUUACUUUAAAUAUUUGCGAACAAGUGUUGUGGCAUUUCUGAAAUAAAUGACUGAAACUAACCAAGAGUUUUGCAAACAAGAUGCAUCCAUACAUGCAUUCAUACAUUAUGAAAAUAGAGUCUCACCCCGCCCUUUCUUCCUCCAGUUUCACGCUGAAUUUUUAACACCAGUACCAUACUCGCGCCCGAGCAAGACAAAGGAUGGCUGAACAAGAGCAAGAGAGCGCCCGAGUUAGAGCUGAACUAGACGAGAUCAAGGGAGGCAUAUCCCAGAUGAGAGAGAUGUUGCAAGCCUUAACCUUCAGAUUUGAGGUUUCGCAAGCGACCGUGAUUUCAGAGACCACGGGCCCAACCGUGGAAGUCCAACCUCAGAGGACGUUACCCUUAACCCUUCCUCCAUAUGGGCUACCUUACGACUUCGUCCCUCGAGCGGAAGUAAUGCACGACAUGGGGCAACCUGUCCAACAAGCCGUGCCAUUACCGGUUUACACCGAUGCACGCCCGGCCAUCCACACCAUUGCUCCACCAGCUGCCUAUGCUAGGCACAUUCCGCACUUUGAAGAUCAACAUCACAUGUAUCAGACUGUCGACUCAACCGUUGUUGGUGGCGAAGUAAGAUUUGAGGAUUUUAGAGAAGUAAAGGAGAACAUGCAACUCCUUGAGAAGAAGUUCCGAGAUUUAGAAGGAUACCACGUCUUUGGAUCUGCUGCCAAAGAAAUGUGCCUUGUAUCUGGGUUGGUGAUUCCGUCUAAAUUCAAAACUCCAGACUUCGACAAAUACAAGGGGCAUACUUGUCCAAAGAUCCAUCUCAUCAUGUAUUACCGAAAAAUGGCUGCACACGUGGAAGGCAACAAGCUGAUGAUCCACUGUUUUCAAGAUAGCUUGAGUGGGGCUCCUUCCAAGUGGUAUUUAAGUCUGGAUCAAAAUAGGAUCAGGUGUUUCCAAGACCUGUCAGACGCGUUCAUAAAACACUACAAAUACAACAUGGCGCCUGACAGAAGAGAGUUGCAAAGCAUGUUCUAGCAUGACAAGGAGUCCUUUAAGGAAUAUGCUCAAAGAUGGAGGGAACUGGCUUCUCAAGUUGAACCACCUCUUGCUGAAAAAGAAUUGGCCGAACUAUUUAUCAACACUGUGAAACCCCAAUUUUAUGAGAAUAUGGUUGGAAGUGCUUCCUUGGGAUUCUCCAAGCUUGUUGCUAUAGGGGCUCGCGUCGAAUAUGGUUUAAGAAAUGGAAAACUGGCGGCUGUAGCUGGAACUUCAAAUGUUAAUCCAAAGAAGUUCUCUGGAGGGUUUCCCAGAAAGAAGGAAGGGGAAACAAAUGUUGUGACUGUUGGCCAGGGAAGAGCCCCUCCAAGAAGAAGACAACAACAAUAUUCACAACAGCAGUAUGUUCAACAACCCUUUACCUAUCAGCAGCCCAUGUAUCUCGUCCAGUACGCCCUGCAACCGUACGUAGCUGUUGUGACGUCUGCAUUCAAUCAAAGGCCUGCUCAGGCUUAUCAAGGGCCUCCAAUUUAUCGACCAACUCCAUUUUAACAAUGUGUUGCGAUUCCUCCGGCUCAUCAGCAAGCACCAGCAACUCCUGUCUAUCAACAGCCGAGAGCUCAAGCUCCAAGGCAAAAUGCGCAUAAUCAGAAUAGGAGGCAAGGGGAUAUGGAGACCUUCAAUCCAAUCCCAAUGUUGUACACUGAACUUUAUCCCUCCCUGUUGCAAAAGGGUUUGGUGGUUCCCAGACCUAUGGGACCUCCACCUGAUCGUCUUCCUCCAUGGUACAACCCUAAUGUACACUGUCCUUUUCACGAAGGUGCCCCCAGGCAUGACCUAGAGGGUUGUUACGCUCUGAAGCAUAGGGUUCGUGAACUGAUUAAAAGCAAGAUCCUGUCUUUUAAGGAUAUGGGACCGAAUGUGAAGAACAAUCCUCUUCCUCCCCAUAGAAAUCCUGCAGUAAACGCCAUUGAAGAUGCCUCUAUUGGUGUUAUGGUUGAUAAGGUGGAUGAUGUUAAGACUCCUUUGGCAGCAUUCCAUGCCCGAUUGGUGAAAGCUGGCCUGAUUAAUGUUAAUCAUGAAAAUUGUGAAGAGUGUGCCACAUACCCAAAGGGGUGUCAGGUGGUACGAGACAACAUUCAAGACUUGAUGGAUAAAGGAGUGCUUCAAUCUCCAAUGUUGUAAAGAACGAAGACGUAUUGGUAAUUGAACCUUGUUUCAAUUUACCUGAACCAGUUGAAAUCCCAUAUUAUAGUGGUGGAGUGGUUUCGGCGAAUAGUCAGUCGUCGCCUGUUGAGAUAUGUAUGCCCACGCCUUUUCCAUAUGAGAGCACCAAGGUUGUGCCUUGGAAAUAUGAGAUUACCGCUGUGGACAAGGUUGUUGAAGGAAAUGUAGACGUCGAAGUGACCGAAGCUGUAAGUGAGGACGUCACCAAUAUUGCAGGAAUGAGCAGAAUGACGCGUAGUGGUCGAAUCUAUACGCCUGAAUUCAAUGUGACUCCUCAAGGGCCAAACAAGGAAUCAACAGUCGCAGCUCCUGCUAAAGAACCCGAAGUGGUCCUAUCCGAGGAUGCUGUUGAAUUCUUGAAGUUGAUCAAGAGAAGUGAUUAUAAAGUGGUGGAUCAGCUACGUCAGACGCCCUUAAAGAUAUCUAUUUUGUCUCUGCUAUUGAACUCCCAAGCCCAUAGGGAGGCUUUGUUGAAGGUGCUUGCCCAAGCUCAUGUAACGCAAAGCAUAACAGUUGACCAAUUUGAUGGAGUAGUUGCUGUAAGACCCCAAUUUUGUCCCUAAGAUCCCUCAUGGCAUCAUAUCAUUGCAUUGCAUAAGCCUCAAGGAUCAUUUGACACCUUGCUUCCUUCCCUGUGGGUGGGAUAUUUUUGAGAGUAGUUCUUGAUCGCCAAGCAUUGCUUGCAUUUGUAUAUCAUUGCUUUUCUUUUAAUCACUAACCAAAAAUGUACAAAAAUAUGUCAUCUAACAUUUGUCUUGCAGCUUAAGCAGUCAGCAGGUCAAGGCAUUCAAGUGAAUCCUUUGUGCAAGAGUUGAGGUUUUCAUUGAGAUUUGGAUCAUGUGAUCAUUGUAUUGAGCUUAUAUGAGCUAUAGGUCCAUUUUGGAGCAAAUUUCCCAAGUGGCAAAGGCCCAAGUUCAUCAGAAUAUUUUCAGGUCAUCUAAGGACCAAUGCCAGUCAACUGAAAGUCAACUGAAGGCUUUGAGUGUGAGAAUUGAGUUUCUUCAUUCCAUUCAUGUCCAAACAAGGCUUAUUCAUCAUGUCAAACAUCCACAUUGAAGAAUUUGAAGCUAGUACAAAAGUUUCCAAAAAUGGAAAGUCACCUAUAAUUUCAAGUUUCCAAAAAUGGAAAGUUUUUGGACCAACUUCAACUCAACUUUCCAACAUCAAAGAAGCUUCAAAUGAAUUUUUGUCCAACAUGAAAGUUGAAUAUCUCUCUCUCCCAUUUCCAAAAAGUUCAAGAUCAUGAGCAUCUGAUGAAUGGUUAAGGAGAUAUGAUCCAAUCAUUGCCAAGUAUGCAUGGAACUUCAAAAGGCCAUAACUUUUGAUUCAUAACUCCAAAUUGAGUGGCCUCUUUUGGCAUUUACUUGUCAUGGCAUAUAUUUUUCAAAUCAUUCAUUACAUUGCAUGAAAUUUCAUAUAUGAUCAUUUGUUCUUUCAUGCCCAUUUUGGAGGGAAAAGACAAAUUUGAAAUUGGUGCAUUGUAUGAAACAAAAUACCAUUGCCAUUAUGCUUAUGAGAUGAUUUUAAGUGAAAUUGAUCAUGCACAUGCUACUGUUCACGUCCAAAUGCUCCAUGCACCUCACAAUUUCAAUUUUUGGUCAUGCACCCCAUUUUCACUAAUCUCAAUUAAACCAAUGCCUAAUUACAUUUUCAGUAUGAUUAACACAUGGUAUAAAUGCUAAACCCUAACAGAAUUCUGGAGUUUUGGCUGAUUCUAGAUCCAAAUUUCUCUUCCUUCCAAAUUUUUCUCUCCAUUGAAAUUCAAAAUUCCUCCACAUAGCACCUUGAUUUCAUUGUAUAUUCUUGUUCUCUGAUCUUCAUUUAGUGCAGAUCAAGCUUUGGUUUGAAAGAUUCGAGUGGAAAUCAAGCAUAUGAAGCUUAAGAACAUAGCAAUGGAAACUGAUUUUUGAGCUAGAUCCAAGCAGUUCCAAGCCUCAAUUUCUACUUCAAACUUCAUAACAGUGAUACAGGAGUGGAUUUGGAUCGUGUGAGGCCUUAAAUCUACAAAUUCCAGUAACUGCUCUUCAAGAGGUAGGUUUUUCGAAGCUCUUAAUUCUCCAAUCUUUUUCCAUGUUAGUGUAGAUCUUCUCUUGCUGAUCAUGCUGAUGAAAAUUUCAUGUGAAAUAGUUGAGUAUUGGCUGUGUUAUGAUGAUUUAAAGUUUCAGAUGUAGAAAUGUUUGUCUUCGAUUCUCUUAAUCCAUGGCUUGUUUUGAUUAGUUGAUGUUAGAUUUAUGAUGUACAUGACAAGAGCUUUCGAUUGGUGUACUUUUCACUUGAAUCUGGAUUUUUUUUUUUGAAGUUCAUACUGUUCCUCCACCGUCUUCAUGAAGAAGACGGUGGUUUCCUCCGUGCACAGCCGUAGGUGAAUAGUUUUAGGGUUUGUCUGGUUCAUGCAUUUCCAGUUACUGUUUGAGCGCCUUGUAUGUUCAUAACGUGAGUUCGAUCCUUUCCUAUUGCAUUUUAUUUGUUUUAAUUUUGCUGACUAGCACUUACAUGGCACACUGGUGUCACUUCUAUUGGCUCAUCUUGCAUUGACCGCUUCCACGCCUGCAUUGACCAUUGAUGUGGCUAGCCACAUCAGAUUAAUGGAACGUUGCGUUUAGACGCGCUUCCUUGGGCCUCUAGUUCCUGAGUUCGAACCAGCCUAAAUGCAAUUGCCAUUUUAUUCAUUCAUUUCAUUAUUUUCAUAUUUUUUGCAAUUUUUAUUUCAUUUUACGCAUGCUUAUUCAAAAAAUCCUUAAAAAUAGCUUGAUGAUCCAAUUAAUUCCAGAUUUUUUUCUACAUGAUCAUAUGAAUGUCUUCUAUUUUUUGAUGUGGAUUUCUGGAAUUGUACCUGGCUGGAAUUUUAAUUGUGUUAGAAUAAUUGAACAUGUAUGCAUUUGUGACAUGCCUCAUUCAUUCUAUUGUGAAAUGCUCAAUAAUGAUCCAAUUGCCAUGAAAUUUUGUAUGCUGAUUCUUAACAUGAUGAUUGACUUGUGAGAUUUGAUUGUGAAUUUUUAGCAUUUUUCAUCACUGUUUUAUACACAUGAUUGUAUGGUGUCACACAAUUGGAUGUCAUACUUGUGCAUUUUCAUUUAUAGGUCAAUUGAACUCUGUUGAUUCUGAUUUUUGGCAUGAUGAUUAUAUUUGACAUGUUGUAUGCUCAUAAAAAUUUCCAGAAUUGUUUGAGUCAUUUCUGUUUUAAUAUGGAAUUUUCAUUCUUGAUGACCAAUUGUAUGCACCUUUUGCUUGCCUUGCCAUAUCUUGCUCAUGAGAUGACUUUGCUUGAUGCUUUUGACUUGGUCCUUUUUAGGACAUGUUCUCAUGUGUUUAAAGUUGCAUUAUGUUAAGUAUUAGCUUCUGUUUUGACUUUUUUCUCCACCUUUGGCCCUAGGUUUUUCCCUAGGGGUUUAGACUCACAUUUGAGCUUUGUAUUUCAGGAUCAAGCCUUUAGCUCCAUGGUUGAUGUUGCUUCCUCAUUUGAGCUUUGUUUGCUACUUUGUUUAACUAAUUUUGAUUGUGUUGUAGGUCCUUGGGUGGCUAACUCACUUGAGUUGUUGACUUGCAUUGUGUAUAUUGGUUGUUUGACUGUUGUUAUCUGUUGGUUGUUUGUCUGAACAUAAUACUGAUUGUUUAGCUUUUCAUACAGGUACCUUAGCCGCUUUAAGUUCAUUUGAACUUUGCUUAGCUUGUGGUUGGCAUACCACUUAGGUAAUUUCCUUAACUCCAUGUAGUCUGGAAGACCUGUCAUUUUCUUUUGGCAGGCACCUGUCUGAAGUCCUCCUUAAGAGGCAAUGUUUGUGUAUGUUUAUCUUUGUGCUUAAGACCUCCUUGUCGAGGCAUACAGGUUAAGUCCUCCUAAGUGAAGAGGCAUUGGAAGAUAGAAGGGAUGUGCAAUCCAUCCCCUGCUAUUCAGUUGAGUCUUUCAUAUUGCUCGCACUACGUGCUGAUGCAUUUGAAUAAACACCCAAGAUCAUUGUAUAUCGAGUCGGUCAUGUGGAGUAGACUCGCACUACGUGCUGAUGCAUUUGAAUAAACACCCAAGAUCAUUGUAUAUCGAGUCGGUCAUGUGGAGUAGAGUUCCUCAUUCUGGACUCCCACACUUUCAUUGAUUCAAGCUCACCCAGGCCAGGGUUAAGAGCUAUGAGGUCUAACCCUUAUUUCCCAUUUCAUCUGCUUCACCCUAACUCUCAAUGUUAGGGUUAAGAGCUCAAAACACCCAUACAGUACCGACUUGUUUGUCGAGGUUGACAUGACCCCUUGACUAAAGCCUAACCUUGAUUGAGCCUCUUGAUUGUGUAUAGUGUGUGCUAAUUGAUUGAUGUGAUUGUUUGUGUUUGCUUUGCAUAUUGUUCUUGCAUAUUGCUUUUGUAUAUUGUUGUUGCAUAUUGCUUUUGCAUUUGUUAUUUGCUUUGUUUGAGGAGUCAGGUAUAAGACCAUUGAUUAGCCAUCUGUUUCCUGUUCCUAUUGGGGAGCUGGAUAUAAGACCAUUUAUUGGUACUCCAUUUCCUUUCCUGUUUUGUUUUGUGGAGUCAGGUGUAAGACCAUUGAUUGGCUACCUGUUUCCUUGUUUAUUUUGUUUUGAGGAGUUAACUAUAAGUCCAGCUAUUGGCAUUUUGUUUCCUCUGUGUUAUUCAGGAGUUAGGUAAUAUCAUUGAUUGGCAUCCUGUUUCCUAUUCUUUGUUCAGGAGUUGGAAGGAAGACCAUUGAUUGGCAUUCUAUUUCCGUUGUUGUGGAGUUGGAUUUAAGUCCAUUGACUGGCUUUCCAUUUCCUCUUUCUUGCUUGUUUGCUUAUUGCUUUGUGUUGCCUAUUCCAAAGGAACCAGUUGGAUCAUCUAUAUAUGAUCUCAAGAGAGGAACUCCUAUGAAGUUUUGCUCCUCAUCCUCCCACCUUUUUGUUCUUAAAACCUCCAUUUGCAUGUUAACCCAAACCAGAAAACUAUUGUGCAAACAUUUUCACUUGUUUUCAAAACUAGAAACCUAGGCCUUAUGCCUUUGAUUUUCAAACUUCAUUAUCACAACACUUCUUCUGAAUUGAAUUCUAAUCAUACCUUGACUUCAUUUUGUGAAUAAUUCUAAUUGAUUAAUUCCACUCAUUCAAUUGUUUUGUGGCUUUGUCCAUUUCUUAAUCAAGUUUUCAUACAUUAGCCAUAGAUCUCAAUUAUCUUAGUGGUUGAUGUGAAUCUCACCUUUUGUCCUUAGUGAUUGAAUUGUAAGACUUCCUUGCUUAUUAUAGGGCAUAAUCCCUCACUAGCAAGUUGAAGCUGUUCUCACAUGGUGGACUUGUGGUUGUAUAGGUUGAGUUUUCACCCGUGGAUAACGAAAGACCUUAAGGCUUUUGUUUAAAAUCAAACCACUUAUCUUUUUUUGGAAAUCUUUUAGCCGAACUACGAGGUUUUGAUCCUGUAAAGGUACGUAGGCAAUGGAUUCUUCCAUCCAAACACAAAAAUAAUUAACUUGUACAUUCUUUUCUCAUCCCUUCAUUCGUGUUUGCACAAUAAAUAUUUCAUAAACAAUAAUCUUUGCAACAAGUUGUGAAAAGGGUUCCCUAGGAGUACCUAGGAUGCAUUGGGUGCCUAACACCUUCCCUUUGCAUAAUUACCCCCUUACCCAAAUCUCUGUACCCCUUUUUAUUAGUUUUCUUUGUAAAACUUCUUAGGCUUUUGUUCGGUUUCUAGCCAUUCCUUUGGAUAAAUAGAAGUGCGGUGGCGACUCUAUCUUUUGUAUGAUUUACCUCGGAUCUAAUCAAUAUUUCCGAUGGUGACGAAUACACCGCUACAGUUGCAAAUAUCAUAGCUUGCAAUACUUUGAGCUUCAGUGGAGAGGAAUUACCUAAGGAUGGACAAAAUCACAAUCGUGCUCUCCAUAUCUCAGUGAAAUGCAAAGAUGAUGCUUUGGCAAGAGUCUUGGUUGAUACCGGAUCUUCUCUGAAUGUUAUGCCAAAGAGAACACUCGCCAAGUUAUCUUAUCAAGGACCAGCUAUGAAGCCUAGUGCCUUGGUAGUGAAAGCUUUUGAUGGUUCCAGGAGAACCGACUCUGAAUGUUAUGCCAAAGAGAACACUCGCCAAGUUAUCUUAUCAAGGACCAGCUAUGAAGCCUAGUGCCUUGGUAGUGAAAGCUUUUGAUGGUUCCAGGAGAACCGUGAUUGGAGAGGUUGAAUUUCCCAUAUUAAUUGGUCCUCACGUAUUCCCGAUUAAUUUCCAAGUCAUGGAUAUUAAUCUAGCAUAUAACUGCUUAUUAGGGCGUCCCUGGAUUCAUGCUGCAGGGGGAGUUACCUCCACCUUACAUUAGAAAAUGAAGUUUGUAGUGGACAACCAAUUAAUCAUUAUCUCUGGGGAGGAGGACUUUGUGGUUAGUCACCUUUCAUCCUUCAGGUAUAUUGAGGUUGAUGAGGAUGCUUUGGAAACUUCUUUCCAAGCUCUUGAAAUAGCCAACGCCACUUUUGUGGAGAUGAAGGACCCGGUUGGGAAAGCUUGUUCGUCUUUCGCUUCUCUGAAAAGCACAAAGUCUAGCAUUGAAGGAGGAAACCCUGAAGGUUGGGGUCAGCUUAUUGAUAUUCGUGAGAAGCAUGAUCGCUUUGGUCUGGGAUAUGUGCCUUCCGCUAUGAAAGGAGCCUGAUUCCCUCCAAAGGACAACACCCGAAGCAUCCAGGAAGUAUUCCUCAGCACAUGAUUCAUCCAUGGAGAUCACGUCAAUGCAAUUGAAAACAACACCGAAAAUGAAGAUGAGCCAUGUUUGGUUUACCGGUGUGAGACAGCUUUGAACAACUGGAAGGCGGUUGAGAUCCCCAAAAUUUUUCCUUUGUCAAAGUAAUAAUUGUUGUUUUUUUCUUUUCAAAUCCUUAGCUCUUCCCAAGGCUAACAGAUCAUGUUGUAGGGCCCCUUUUCAUUUUCAAAUAAUCAUUAUCAGUGAAUGAAAGGCAUUUUGUUAAAUUCUUAUUAUUCAUUUAUUUCACUUUCUCUUAAGAAAAUGACAAUCUUUUCAAAAACAAAGACAAAAAAAACUUUUCAUUUAUGCAUAUUUUAUUUUUACUUUUCUAAAAGAAAUCAAUCAUUCAAACAUGCAGAAUAAAUGAUAACCCCGUUGAAUCCAAUGACUUUACUCCCUCUCAUAACUUUGACUCCCCUAUAUACCAAGUGGAAGAAGAGGGUGUGGAAGAUUGUUACAUCCCCGACGAAUUGGCAAGGCUGCUCGAGCACGAGUCCAAAGCCCUUCAGCCACAUGAAGAACCGGUGGAAACAAUCAACCUUGGCACAAAGGAAGAGAAGAAAGAAGUCCAGGUCGGCACCACGCUUGAAGAAAGCGUCAAAGAGAGAUCGGUUAAGCUACUACAAGAAUAUGUGGAUGUAUUUGCAUGGUCAUACCAGGAUAUGCCAGGCCUGGACACCAACAUUGUUGAGCACAAGCUGCCACUUCAGCCAGACUGCCCGUCAGUAAAACAGAAACUCUGAAGAACAAGACCAGAUAUGGCUCUGAAGAUUCGUGAAGAAGUCAAGCGACAAUUUGAUGUUGGUUUCCUCGCAGUGGCGAAGUACCCACAAUGGGUAGCUAAUAUUGUACCUGUUCCUAAAAAGGAUGGAAAAGUGAGGAUGUGUGUUGACUAUAGGGAUAUGAACAAAGCUAGUCCAAAGGACGAUUUCCCUCUACCACACAUUGAUACUCUGGUAGAUAACACUGCAAGUUUUGCUGUAUUCUCCUUUAUGGAUGGUUUUUCUAGGUACAAUCAAAUUAAGAUGGCACUAGAUGACAUGGAGAAGACCACUUUUAUUACCCCUUGGGGCACGUUUUGCUACAAGGUAAUGCCUUUCGGUCUAAAAAAUUUCUGGGCAACUUACCAAAGAGCUAUGGUCACUCUUUUCCAUGAUAUGAUGGACAAGAAGAUAGAGGUCUAUGUUGACGACAUGAUUGCUAAAUCCCAGAAUGAAGAAGAUCAUAUGAGCCAUCUGAAGAAGUUGUUUCAACGCCUCAGAAAGUUUAGAUUACGAUUAAACCCUACAAAAUGCACAUUUGGUGUCCGUUCAGGGAAGUUGCUUGGUUUCAUCGUUAGUCAGUGAGGAAUUGAAGUGGACCCUGACAAGGUCCGAGCUAUACAAGAAAUGCCUGCUCCACGCACCGAGCGAGAAGUUAGAGGUUUCCUUGGGCGUUUGAAUUACAUCUCAAGGUUUAUCUCACAUAUGACGGCCACAUGUGAGCCUAUCUUCAAAUUGCUUCGAAAAGAUCAAGUCGUUAAAUAGAAUUCUGAUUGUCAAAGUGCUUUUGAGAAGAUUCGUCAAUACUUGCAAGAGCCGCCUAUUUUGAUUCCACCUGUCCCAGGAAAGCCAUUAAUCAUGUAUCUAACUGUGCUUGAAGGGUCAAUGGGAUGCGUGCUGGGGCAACAUGACGAAACUGGUAGGAAAGAACAUGCUAUUUAUUAUCUGAGUAAAAAGUUUACCGAUUGUGAAAUUCGAUAUUCACUUUUGGAGAAAACUUGUUGCGCGCUAGCAUGGGCCGCUCGUCGUUUGAGGCAGUACAUGAUUUGCCAUACUACUUUGUUGAUCUCGAAGAUGGAUCCAAUAAAGUAUAUUUUUGAGAAACCUGUCUUAACUUGAAGACUUGCUCGUUGGCAGAUGCUUUUGUCAGAGUACGAGAUCCAGUACGUAACCCUGAAAGCAACCAAGGGAAGUGUUUUAGCAAAGUGUCUUGCUCAUCAACCAGUUGAAGACUAUCUGCCAUUGAAGUUUGAUUUCCCCGAUGAGGAUAUAAUGGUGAUAAAGGAUUGUGAGAUCCCAGGCCCAGAUGAAGGACUAGAACUAGGAUCUCGAUAGAAGCUCGCGUUUGAUGGUUCCUCCAAUUACAGUGGUCAUGGUGUGGGAGCUGUUUUGAUGAACCCAAAUGGUGGCUUUACCCCUUUCACAGUAAGGUUAUGCUUUGAUUGUACGAAUAAUAUCUCAGAGUAUGAAGCUUGUAUCCUUGGUCUUGAAGCCGCAAUUGAUCUCCGAAUCAAGAUCCUUGAGGAGUAUGGAGAUUCAGCCUUGGUGAUCUAUCAGGUCAAAGGAGAAUGAGAAACUCGUGAUGCGAAGCUGAUCCCGUAUCGUGCUCAUGUUGUGAAGAUGAUAGAAUACUUCAACGAUAUCACUUUCCAUCACAUCCCAAGAAUAGAAAAUAAAGUGGCUGACGCUUUGGCAACAUUAGCAUCAAUGUACCAAGUCAGAUUCCAUAAUGAAGCUCCACUUAUUCGAAUCGAGCGAAGAGAUGAGCCUACGUACUGUCAAUCGAUUGAAGAAGAAACUGAUGGUAAACCUUGGUUUCAUGAUACCAAGAGAUAUCUUCUAAGUCAAGAGUAUCCAGAAGAUGCUACAUUGUUGGAUAACAAAACUCUAAGGAGGUUAUCAUCCAAAUUCUUUUUGAGUAAUGAUGUGCUUUACAAAAGAAACCAUUACAUGGUUCUGCUCAGAUGCGUAGGUAGACACGAAGCAGACAUGCUAAUCAAGGAAAUUCAUGAAGGAUCUUUUGGAACUCAUGCUAAUGGACAUGCCAUGGCCAAGAAGAUUUUGAGAGCUGGCUAUUAUUGGUUGACCAUGGAGUCCGAUUGUUUCAGCUAUGCCAGAAAAUGUGAUAAAUGUCAUAUUUAUGCUGAUAAAGUGCAUGUACCGCCAACACUUUUGGAUGUUUUAACAUCGCCUUGGCCCUUCUCAAUGUGGGGCAUCGACAUGAUUGGUGCUAUAGAGCCUAAGGCUUCCAAUGGUCAUCGUUCCAUCCUAGUUGCCAUUGAUUACUUUACUAAAUGGGUGGAGGCUGCUUCCUACACCAAUGUGACGAGGCAUGUGGUUGCUCGCUUUAUCAAGAAGGAGAUUAUCUGCCGCUACGGGAUCCCUAGCAAGAUCAUUACAGCAACGGUUCAAACUUGAACAACAAGACAAUGAUAGAAUUAUGUGAGAGUUUCAAGAUUGACCACCAUAAUUCUUCUCCAUAUCGUCCCAAGAUGAACGGUGUUGUUGAAGCCGCCAACAAAAACAUCAAGAAGAUCCUGCAAAAGAUGGUGAAAACUUAUAAUGAUUGGAACGAGAUGCUACCCUUUGCUUUGCAUGGAUAUCGGACCUCAGUCCGCACUUCAACACGGGCAACCCCAUUCUCCUUAGUGUAUGGGACGGAAGCAGUUCUCCCAGUCGAAGUAGAGAUACCUUCAAUGAGAAUAUUGAUGGAGGCCAAGCUAGACGAAGCUGAAUGGAUCCAGAACAAUUAUGAUCAACUUAACCUCAUUGAUGAGAAGCGUAUGACCGCUAUGUGCCAUGGACAAUUGUACCAAUAACGAAUCAAGAAAGAGUUUGACAAAAAGGUCUGUCCUCGAGAGUUCAAGGAAGGAGAUCUCGUGCUCAAGAAGAUAUUUCCAGUACACAAGGAUUCACGUGGGAAGUGGACUCCCAACUAUGAAGGCCCGUACGUUGUAAAAAGAGCAUACUAUGUAGGUGCUCUAUUUCUCACAACUAUGGAUGGAGAAGAGCUCAUUCACCCUGUGAACUCUGAUGCAGUCAAAAGAUAUUAUGCCUAACAAAAACCAGGUGGACUGAAAACCCGAAAAGGCGGUCCAUGCAAAAGUUAAGGAUAAUAAAAAAAAUGGUAGCUCGCUAAGUUGAAAACCUGAAAGGGCGACUUAGGAAAAAAAGAGCGCCUCGGUGGAUUGAAAACCCGAAAGGGCGAUCCAGGCAAAAAUUAGGGACAAGAGGCAUAAAUUGCAUCAGUUGUCACUAAUCAAUACAGAAGAGCUAAAACUGGAAGAUCAACCCAAAUGCUCCCUUCAAAAGCGAGGUUUUGUGGAGUCAUUGUUAUUAGGGAUAGUUAGUCAUUGCGAUUCGAUGUAAACCUUUCCCUAUUACCAUUUUAAAAUUUGUAACAUUCCAUGGAGCUACACCAUUUGUGUGCUACCAUUCUUGAAUAAAUACAAGUUUUCCUAUCAAAUUCUAUCAUUUGCUGUUUUUCUCCGAUUCUCUUUGUUAUGCAAAAUGUCAUUUAUUUGUUAAUAAUGAAAUUUUGAACUCAAAAAGAAUUUUUCAAUACAUUGAGAAACACAAUUUUGCUUUGACAUGUUGAAAUAUUAAAAAGGAAACCUUUCAUCUUUCCCUGCAAGUCUCAAGUUGCAAGACUUCUCUUGGAUGAUCAACAUAUGUCUCCAGAGAGCACAUAUUUAGCAUUCUCCCUGGGCCAGUUAUAACUGUUCAACUUGAUAGAUCCUCCUUUGAUGCAUUUACUCACUCUUUCGGUUGAGUUAUUGGUAUUGAGGAUUCAGUACCUCCACAAAGCUCUCCCUAAUUUCUAGUCUGUAUAUUGUCAGCAUUUGCAUAUCGUGAUCAUUCAUAUAUCAUGCAUAUAAGCAAAAUCCAAGUCAUGCAUAGCCCGAAGUGCUUCGCGCUCAUUUGCAUAAUCUCAGGUCUCGUUGUUGAUUGUAUCCCUUGUAUCCCUUGCUCAUUCAUAUACUGGUGUCGUUUGUUAAGACUGGUUGUCACCAGCAUCUUUUGAAAUCCAGUCGUAACUGGUAUCUCUUCAAAUCUGGUUGUCACCAGCAUUUUCUAUCAAGUCCAAUUGUUAUUGGCAUCACCUGUUAAGUCCAGUUGUAACUGGCGUUCGAGUGUUAAAAUCCAGUUGUAACUGAUAUCUCUUUAAAGCCUGGUUGUCACCAGCAUCUUGUCUCAAAUCCAACCAGAAUUGGUACCUCAAGCACAGUUGUAACUGGCGCUUUGAUAAAACCAUUUGUCAAUGGUAUGAUAAGUCUGGUUGUAACCAACAUUGUUUGCAAGUCCAAUUGUUAUUGGCAUUAUCUGUCAAGUCCAUUUGUUAUUGGCAUGACCUGUUAAGUCCAGUCGUAACUGGCGCUCAAAUGUUAAAAUUUAGUUGUAACGGAUGGCUCUGUAAAAUCUGGUUGUCACCAACAUCUUAUCUUAAAUCCAAUUGUAAUUGGUAUCCCCAAUCAGAGUUGUAACCGGCACUGUCUUAAAAAAUCAUUUGUAAAUGGUAUGAUAAGUCUGGUUAUCACCAUUCUUGUUUGCAAGUCCAAUUGUUAUUGGCAUUGUCUGUUAAGUCCAGUUGUAACUGGCGCACAUUUUCAAAUCCAGUUGUAUCUGGUAUCCUUUUAAAGUCUGGUUGUCACUAGUAUUUGUCAAAUCCAUCUGUAAAUGGUAUCUUUAAGUUUGGUCGUCAUCAGCACCCUUGAAGUCCAGUUCUAACCGACACUAAUUCGUUUGAGGAUGGUGGCGAUCUAUGAUUAUAGUAUGAGUCCAAUUGUGGUUAGCACCUACAGAGAGUUUUUCUAUCCUGUUGACUCUGGGUUCCUAGAAGGUUGUCAUUUUGACUCUUUCAUUGACAGUAAUUUCCAAAAAAAUUGAUCGGAUAAUUUUCUUGUGAGAAAUCUCCGGAUUUGUCAGGAAUGUUCAAAGUGUCGUCAGGUCAUGUAUGAACCCGUUGAUAUACUCUUUUUGAUUUUUCUAAAUGUCGUCAUAUCAUGUUUGAACCUGCUGUCAGAACUUCUUGAUAUUCCCCAACAUUGCCAAGUCAUGUAUGAACCCAUCGCUGAACCUUUUACUCCAGUAUUACCAGUUCAUGUCUGAACCUAUUUUGAAGAACCUUUUUCUUUGAUUUUUCAGUUGUUAUCAGGUCACUUAUGAACCUGUUUUAGAAAAUUUUCUUAUUCAGGUUUAAUGAGUCAUGUGUGAACUUAUUGACAAAAUCUCUUGUGUUCUAAGUGUCGUUUAUCAGCUUUCACUUUGAUUACUCCCCGUUGUGUGUCUGACUCUCCAGCAAGAUUGUUAUCCCCAACGAGUUAGUUUUACCCUAUUUGUCUGUCUCCCUGUGGACCAUCAGUAUUCCCCACAGAUUGGUUUGUCUGGCAUAACAUCUCCUGUUAAGGGUUCACCAUGUCCCUAACAGAUAAAUUCAGAAACAAAGAGUCUUUCACCCAUGCAUGUCAUGUCACAUCAUUUGCAUUUCAGGAUUAAAAUCCGGCUUUUCUUAAGUAUUUAAUUAUCCUCCACUAUGAUCAUAUGAAGAGUGUCCUACUUCAUAUUCUCUGGUUGAAGAUACUUAAAUAGGGGCAACUGUCACACCCCGAUUUUGACCCCGAUAUUCAUAUCAUUAUUUCAUUCAUUAUUUGUUCCUCAUGAUUUUGUUCCUCUAAUAUGGUACCCCUUUUUCAUGAGCAUCAAGUGGUCUCGUUUUCUGUUAUGGGUGCACCUUGUUGUGUUGUGUGCAUUCAAGGCGAGGUUCUACCGUCAACAUGCUUAGAUACAUAGGCGCAUUCCGCGUCGGUGGUAAUCAAGGAAUUCGAGGAUUAUUGUGCUUGGAUUAGAGUAUGUGGUCAAAAAGAUUUGUCAUGAAAAGCUUUGAUGAACAUUAUUUAUUCAAGGAGAUUCCAGUGGUUUACCAUGUUUUAAGGGAGAGUCAUUAUCAUGUGAGUUUUUCAAGAGGGACCAAGCAUGGUUGUCGUCGGAAUCAAGCUAGUGGCCGAAGGCCAUCCUUUAUUUGCAUGGAUUUUAAUAGAUAAUUCAAGGGAAACACAAAGGAGUCUCAAUCAUGUUCAAUAAUUUGGUUUUGAUAUUGGGAUUUAAAUCUAAAGGGGGGCAUUUGGUCGAAGCUACUGAUACUCACGUGCAAACUUUAUGCUUGGAUCCUAAGGAAGCAAAUGUGCAUCAUGUUAUUGUUAACCAAGCACCAUUCAAAGUAGGCUAAGACCAUGCAAGAGCAAAUAAUAAAUCUUCAUCAGAUCUUAAUUGAAGUGGCAUACAAAGGAGAAAAUAGUAUGUUAAUUGAGGAAAAUUACAAGCAUUGCAAAUGAUGCAAUAAAAUUAGUUGUUGGCCAUUAACACUGGACCAAGCAACCUCAAGAAAAUCUAAUCCGUUGGUCGCUUCAGGAUAGGUUCUGUUUCAAUUUCUUCAUCACUAACUGCUUCAUCAAAACUUAAUAUCCGAAUGUGUAGAAGCUUGAUGGUAGUUGUGUCUUCUAUAUUCCUUAAUACCAUACAAUUUGGUCGACAAUGUAUCCUUAUUGCUCAGGAUCAUUAUCGCACUUAUCAUUGUAAUACGGUUGAGAGGAUUCACUAUGGUCCUUCAUAGCCAUAUCAGCAUCUGCAAUUGUUUUCUCUGUUGACCCAACCGCUGCUUCAGCAACAAACUUAUAAUCUUCAAAAAUAUACGGCAUAACCAUUUGCACUGCCAGAUGAUCUUGUGGAUUGCUGCUUAUUUCAUUCAAUUGACGCAUCUAUCAACUCCUUCACUGGCAGGGUGCUAGCACUGACAAAAGUUUGUUGCCCUUCUAUUAGCUCUUCUGGAAGCUUGAGAAGCUCUUUUUCAGACUCUGCAGUAUCCUAAUCCAUUUGAUGCUCUUUAGCAAUUUCCUUAAAUAGUUUCAACUUCACUUCACCAUGAGGGUUGCAUACUGAGAACUUGUACGAGCAAAUUCUUAGAAGUUUAAUGGCAGGGCUAGCACUAGGUGAUAGUGAUGGAGAGAUUGUCAAUGCAGAUAAUUUCCUGAGUACUUGCAGCCAAGAGUUUCGUGCUCGAGGAACCGAUUUUCUCAAGCGCACUCGUAAAAAUAUGUUGCGGGAACACCUACAAAAAAAAGGAAAAUGAAUGCAAGAGUGAUAGCUUUAACGAGUAUGUCAAGCAGAUUGAUGCCAUAGAGAAGCAAGUAACUGAAUUUGAAGCAGUGGUCUCUAUUCUCGAUAAAUAUGUGGCUCUGUUGGAAUCAAAAGUCCAAUUUGAUUACCAAACCAAAAGUCCUUCGUCCUAAAUAUGGGUUUUAAAAAAAGGUUUGUGUCUGUGAUAUGGGGUGCGACCAAAAGGAUUUUAAUUUAGCUGAAACUGCAACAUGAUCGCAAUUGACCGGGUUUCUUUGCAAUAUCAAGAGACAUGAUGCGACUGCAACCAAUUAUGAAGCGCUUUCCUCUCUGCAACUGUUCAGACCUUACUUGGCAAACUUGCUUCCAAAGAGUUUCUUAAUUACAUCACAAACACCAAGCUCGAUGUCUCACUCUUGAAAAAGUUAAGAGCAACACUACGCACUCUUCAACCUGUGCUAGACACUGCAGAGGAGAAGC
RNAcentral lists this long non-coding RNA (24267 nucleotides) under Lathyrus oleraceus (garden pea). RNAcentral describes it as "Pisum sativum (pea) long non-coding RNA (PSAT_LNC036114)". The record is from RNAcentral. Lineage: Eukaryota; Viridiplantae; Streptophyta; Magnoliopsida; Fabales; Fabaceae.